Molecule: long non-coding RNA, 507 nt
Organism: Ochotona princeps (American pika)
Lineage: Eukaryota; Metazoa; Chordata; Mammalia; Lagomorpha; Ochotonidae
Exons: 4
Source: RefSeq, a predicted model, not a curated record
UUAUACAGCCCUGGCCAUCUUCAGCGUUUCGGUAUUAGAAACUAGUAAGAAAGGAGCCAAACAUCAGGAACAAGAUCAAACACCGACCUCACACUCCUGCCAGAAAAAUGAAGCAUUCAGUCGUUAAACGUAAGCCUAAGUCAAGAGGUAAGAAACGGAAGAAAAAAACAAGGAGCUUACAGCAUAUUGCCACCAACAUUGAACCCAGGAGAAGCGAGAAUGCUCAGAUGGAUCAACACUUUCAAAAUCUGCUUGAUGGCAUUCAUAGAGACAUAGAGACCUUCCCUCACCAGUACCUGAAUCUCAACCAUCUCUACCUGGAGGAAUUUAUCCUCUUCCUUUCCCGGAUCCUUUGCUUGGGUUAAAUGGCAAACCAACAUCUCUACCAUUUCUUUAGUUUCCAGAACCUCCUUCUCCAUUACCUCCUUUGUUGGGCAACUUUGUUACAGGAUCUCCACCUGCUCUAGUUAAUAGAAUGAAGUAGAAACAAAUUGAACCUGAAGCUCA